ACGGAGGGUGCAAGCGUUAUCCGGAUUUAUUGGGUUUAAAGGGUCCGUAGGCGGAUUCGUAAGUCAGUGGUGAAAUCUCAUAGCUUAACUAUGAAACUGCCAUUGAUACUGCGAGUCUUGAGUGAGAUUGAGGUAGCUGGAAUAAGUAGUGUAGCGGUGAAAUGCAUAGAUAUUACUUAGAACACCAAUUGCGAAGGCAGGUUACCAAGUCUUAACUGACGCUGAUGGACGAAAGCGUGGGGAGCGAACAG
Molecule: ribosomal RNA, 251 nt
Filed under: uncultured prokaryote
Description: partial 16S rRNA
Rfam family: Bacterial small subunit ribosomal RNA
Source: RNAcentral